UGUCAUUUAGGGUCAUCUUAUUUGGAUAAGAGAUUAUUCAGUUCCACUGCUUCCCUCUACCACUCAUCUUUUGAGCUUUUUUAUAGCCAAAGACUUUUACCCAAAAAUGAAGAGGAAGACACCAGUUGCUUC
RNAcentral lists this long non-coding RNA (132 nucleotides) under Aotus nancymaae (Ma's night monkey). RNAcentral describes it as "MEST intronic transcript 1, antisense RNA conserved region 1 (ENSANAG00000002718.1)". It matches the Rfam family "MEST intronic transcript 1, antisense RNA conserved region 1". Lineage: Eukaryota; Metazoa; Chordata; Mammalia; Primates; Aotidae. The record is from RNAcentral.